AUUUGAAAGCUGGCGUCUUCGACGUCCGCGUUGUAAUUUGUAGAGGAUGCUUCGGCGAAGACUCCUGCCUAAGUCCCCUGGAACGGGGCGUCAUAGAGGGUGAGAAUCCCGUAUGUGGCGGGCAGUCUAAGCCAUGUGAAGCUCCUUCGACGAGUCGAGUUGUUUGGGAAUGCAGCUCUAAAUGGGAGGUAAAUUUCUUCUAAAGCUAAAUAUUGGCCAGAGACCGAUAGCGCACAAGUAGAGUGAUCGAAAGAUGAAAAGCACUUUGGAAAGAGAGUUAAAAAGUACGUGAAAUUGUUGAAAGGGAAGCGCUUGCAACCAGACUCGCUCGUAGUUGCUCAGCCGGCCUCUUGGCCGGUGUACUCUUCUACGAUCGGGCCAGCAUCAGUUCGGGCGGCAGGAUAAAGGUGUCGGGAAUGUAGCACCCUUCGGGGUGUGUUAUAGCCCGGCGCGGAAUGCUGCCAGCCUG
RNAcentral lists this ribosomal RNA (469 nucleotides) under Phyllosticta capitalensis. RNAcentral describes it as "partial large subunit ribosomal RNA". It matches the Rfam family "Eukaryotic large subunit ribosomal RNA", at positions 113 to 636 of the family's 3401-position model. The record is from RNAcentral. Lineage: Eukaryota; Fungi; Ascomycota; Dothideomycetes; Botryosphaeriales; Phyllostictaceae.